UACGGAGGGUGCAAGCGUUAUCCGGAUUUACUGGGUUUAAAGGGUGCGUAGGUGGGUCUGUAAGUCAGUGGUGAAAUCUCCGAGCUUAACUCGGAAACUGCCAUUGAUACUAUAGAUCUUGAAUUAUCUGGAGGUAAGCGGAAUAUGUCACGUAGCGGUGAAAUGCUUAGAUAUGACAUAGAACACCAAUUGCGAAGGCAGCUUACUACGGAUAUAUUGACACUGAGGCACGAAAGCGUGGGGAUCAAACAAG
This 253-nucleotide ribosomal RNA is filed under the name uncultured bacterium. RNAcentral describes it as "partial 16S ribosomal RNA". It matches the Rfam family "Bacterial small subunit ribosomal RNA", at positions 524 to 776 of the family's 1533-position model. The record is from RNAcentral.